GAUGAACGCUGGCGGCGUGCCUAAUACAUGCAAGUCAGGCGAACGGACGAGAAGCUUGCUUCCUUGAUUUUAGCGGCGGACGGGUGAGUAACACGUGGUUAACCUACCUAUAAGACUGGGAUAACUUCGGGAAACCGUAGCUAAUACCGGUUAAUAUUUUGAACCGCAUGGUUAAAAAGUGAAAGACGGUCUUGCUGUCACUUAUAAAUGGAUCCGCGCUGCAUUAGCUAGUUGGUAAGGUAACGGCUUACCAAGGCAACGAUGCAUAGCCGACCUGAGAGGGUGAUCGGCCACACUGGAACUGAGACACGGUCCAGACUCCUACGGGAGGCAGCAGUAGGGAAUCUUCCGCAAUGGGCGAAAGCCUGACGGAGCAACGCCGCGUGAGUGAUGAAGGUCUUCGGAUCGUAAAACUCUGUUAUUAGGGAAGAACAUAUGUGUAAGUAACUGUGCACAUCUUGACGGUACCUAAUCAGAAAGCCACGGCUAACUACGUG
This 497-nucleotide ribosomal RNA is filed under the name uncultured bacterium. RNAcentral's name for it is "partial 16S ribosomal RNA". It matches the Rfam family "Bacterial small subunit ribosomal RNA", at positions 28 to 507 of the family's 1533-position model. The record is from RNAcentral.